GCAUCUGACCGCUGUGUGAGCAGACAAUGCUAACUGUCUUUUCCUACGGACGCGUGUGGUGUCAUGCGCGCACGGACAGCGCCAAAACUAUUGUUGGAAUGAUCUUGUGCGGAGCGUGAGUUCACAAUUUCCCAAGGAGACAGAUAUUUCCUUGAAGUUCAUGCAGCUUUUUGUUCUUGCAUGAGAGAUAGCUAUUUCAAGUCAACAUCUUUUUUUCUUGGGAGAACUGCAUAAGCAUCUCUGAG
Molecule: long non-coding RNA, 245 nt
Organism: Engraulis encrasicolus (European anchovy)
Lineage: Eukaryota; Metazoa; Chordata; Actinopteri; Clupeiformes; Engraulidae
Exons: 3
Source: RefSeq, a predicted model, not a curated record